RNAcentral lists this ribosomal RNA (426 nucleotides) under uncultured Leptospirillum sp. Its description in RNAcentral is "bacterial SSU rRNA". It matches the Rfam family "Bacterial small subunit ribosomal RNA", at positions 356 to 774 of the family's 1533-position model. Lineage: Bacteria; Pseudomonadati; Nitrospirota; Nitrospiria; Nitrospirales; Nitrospiraceae. The record is from RNAcentral.
GAGGAAUAUUGCGCAAUGGGGGAAACCCUGACGCAGCAACGCCGCGUGUGCGAAGAAGGCCUUCGGGUCGUAAACCACUUUUACUCGGGACGAAAAAUGGAUAUCGAAUAAAUAUCCCCGAUGACGGUACCGUGAGAAUAAGCCACGGCUAACUCUGUGCCAGCAGCCGCGGUAAGACAGAGGUGGCAAGCGUUGUUCGGAAUUACUGGGCGUAAAGAGUCUGUAGGUGGUUUGUCAAGUCUUUGGUGAAAGGCCGUAGCUUAACUAUGGGAAUGCCAAAGAGACUGGCAGGCUGGAGGCUGGGAGAGGGAAGCGGAAUUUCUGGUGUAGCGGUGAAAUGCGUAAAUAUCAGAAGGAAGGCCGGUGGCGAAGGCGGCUUCCUGGAACAGUCCUGACACUGAGAGACGAAAGCGUGGGGAGCAAACA